UACAUGUGGGGCAAGCGUUGUUCGGAAUUGCUGGGCAUAAAGGGUGCGUAGGUGGUUUGUUAAGUCACGGGUGAAAGUUUUCGGCCCAACCGGAAAAUUGCCUGUGAUACUGGCGAACUUGAGUGCGUGAGGGGUAACCGGAACGAGCAGUGUAGCGGUGAAAUGCGUAGAUAUUGCUCGGAAGGCCAGAGGCGAAGGCGGGUUACUGGUACGCAACUGACACUGAGGCACGAAAGCUAGGGGAGCGAACGGG
This 253-nucleotide ribosomal RNA is filed under the name uncultured bacterium. Its description in RNAcentral is "partial 16S ribosomal RNA". It matches the Rfam family "Bacterial small subunit ribosomal RNA", at positions 524 to 776 of the family's 1533-position model. The record is from RNAcentral.